GAAACCAACAGGGAUUGCCUCAGUAGCGGCGAGUGAAGCGGCAAAAGCUCAAAUUUGAAAUCUGGCGUCUUUGGCGUCCGAGUUGUAAUUUGAAGAAGGUAUCUUUGGGCCCGGCUCUUGUCUAUGUUCCUUGGAACAGGACGUCACAGAGGGUGAGAAUCCCCUGCGAUGAGAUGACCCGGGUCUGUGUAAAGUUCCUUCGACGAGUCGAGUUGUUUGGGAAUGCAGCUCUAAGUGGGUGGUAAAUUCCAUCUAAAGCUAAAUAUUGGCGAGAGACCGAUAGCGAACAAGUACAGUGAUGGAAAGAUGAAAAGAACUUUGAAAAGAGAGUGAAAAAGUACGUGAAAUUGUUGAAAGGGAAGGGCUUGAGAUCAGACUUGGUAUUUUGCAUGCUGCUCUCUCGGGGGCGGCCGCUGCGGUUUACCGGGCCAGCAUCGGUUUGGAGCGGCAGGAUAAUGGCGGAGGAAUGUGGCACGGCUUCUGCUGUGUGUUAUAG
RNAcentral lists this ribosomal RNA (496 nucleotides) under Candida albicans. RNAcentral describes it as "LSU rRNA". It matches the Rfam family "Eukaryotic large subunit ribosomal RNA", at positions 61 to 533 of the family's 3401-position model. The record is from RNAcentral. Lineage: Eukaryota; Fungi; Ascomycota; Pichiomycetes; Serinales; Debaryomycetaceae.